GGAACGAACGUUAGCGGCGCGCCUAAUACAUGCAAGUCGUGCGAGAAAGGGCUUCGGCCCCGGUACAGCGGCGCACGGGUGAGUAACACGUAGGUAAUCUUCCCUCGAAUGGUGGAUAACCCUCCGAAAGGAGAGCUAAUACAGCAUAAGACCACGACCUCGUUGAGGUUGCGGCCAAAGCAGGCCUCUACUUGUAAGCUUGCGUUUGAGGAUGAGCCUGCGGCCCAUCAGCUAGUUGGUAGGGUAAUGGCCUACCAAGGCAAAGACGGGUAGCUGGUCUGAGAGGAUGAACAGCCACACUGGAACUGAGACACGGUCCAGACUCCUACGGGAGGCAGCAGUAGGGAAUCUUGCGCAAUGGGCGAAAGCCUGACGCAGCGACGCCGCGUGAGCGAUGAAGGCUGGUUGUAAGCUCUGUGGGAGGAAGAAGUAAGGCAGGCUAAUACCUGCUUGAUGACGGUACCUCUUAGCAAGCACCGGCUAACUCUCGUGACCG
RNAcentral lists this ribosomal RNA (496 nucleotides) under uncultured soil bacterium. RNAcentral's name for it is "bacterial SSU rRNA". It matches the Rfam family "Bacterial small subunit ribosomal RNA", at positions 27 to 511 of the family's 1533-position model. The record is from RNAcentral.